UCUCCGUUGGUGAACCAGCGGAGGGAUCAUUACAGGGUUGCAAAACUCCCAAACCAUUGUGAACGUUACCUAUCCCGUUGCUUCGGCGGGCGGCCCGGGCCCCGCGCCCGGCGCCCCCCGGCCCCCCGUGGGCGCCCGCCGGAGGUAAACCAAACCCUUGAAUUGCAUGGCCUCUCUGAGUCUUCUGUACUGAAUAAGUCAAAACUUUCAACAACGGAUCUCUUGGUUCUGGCAUCGAUGAAAAACGCAGC
Molecule: unclassified non-coding RNA, 251 nt
Filed under: plant metagenome
Description: partial contains small subunit ribosomal RNA, internal transcribed spacer 1, and 5.8S ribosomal RNA
Rfam family: 5.8S ribosomal RNA (bases 203-251)
Source: RNAcentral